UAGGGAAUCUUCGGCAAUGGACGAAAGUCUGACCGAGCAACGCCGCGUGAGUGAAGAAGGUUUUCGGAUCGUAAAACUCUGUUGUUAGAGAAGAACAAGGACGUUAGUAACUGAACGUCCCCUGACGGUAUCUAACCAGAAAGCCACGGCUAACUACGUGCCAGCAGCCGCGGUAAUACGUAGGUGGCAAGCGUUGUCCGGAUUUAUUGGGCGUAAAGCGAGCGCAGGCGGUUUCUUAAGUCGGGUGUGAAAGCCCCCGGCUCAACCGGGGAGGGUCAUUGAAAGCUGGGAGACUUGAGUGCAGAAGAGGGGAGUGGAAUUCCAUGUGUAGCGGUGAAAUGCGUAGAUAUAUAGAGGAACACCAGUGGCGAAGGCGGCUCUCUGGUCUGUAACUGACGCUGAGGCUCGAAAGCGGGGGGAGCAAACAGG
RNAcentral lists this ribosomal RNA (429 nucleotides) under Gemmatimonadota bacterium. RNAcentral's name for it is "Gemmatimonadetes bacterium partial 16S ribosomal RNA". It matches the Rfam family "Bacterial small subunit ribosomal RNA", at positions 355 to 776 of the family's 1533-position model. Lineage: Bacteria; Pseudomonadati; Gemmatimonadota. The record is from RNAcentral.